This 771-nucleotide long non-coding RNA is filed under the name Phoenix dactylifera (date palm). RNAcentral describes it as "long non-coding RNA (PDAC_LNC017725)". Lineage: Eukaryota; Viridiplantae; Streptophyta; Magnoliopsida; Arecales; Arecaceae. The record is from RNAcentral.
GGUACCGGCCCAGGACCGGACCGGUACGUACCGGCCCGUACCGGCCGGUACAGGCCGGUACGACAUUCCAUGGUUUAGAUUGUGCUGGUUUAAUCAUGUUAGCUUGGUUAUUUUUGUUUCAAGACUAAUCCUUACCCAACACUACCUUGAUAUAUUUCAACCCUUAACUAAACCUACCUGACCUUGUAUGGGAUUUCUUGAAACCAACCCAACUCAACACCCUUAAGCUCAAUUCAUAUCAGGUUGGAGUUGUUAUUGGUUUAGAUUAUGCUGGUUUAAUUAGGUUAGCUUGAUUAUUUUUGUAUAGGUAAUGUAAGAUUAGAGAAAGGUUUUAAGAAAUUUUGUCAACUUAAUAUUUAGCAUCUUGGGGUCUCAUGCAAGUGCAGCUAAGCUAUUCUAUAAAUUAAUAGGCUAAGAUAUAGUUAUAUGAAACAUCCAAGCGAGGUCUGCAAAACCUAUACUGGGAACCAUACUGGUACAUUAUGGCUUUGUAUGGUAUGUUUGGUAUAUAUGGUAUGCACCCUACACAGAGACAAACCUUCGACAUUUUAUUCUCACUCCUAACUAUGGUACCAAAGUUCGCAAUCUCGAUAUCGGGUACUGUAUCAGUACCUUAUCAAUUCGGUAUGGUAAGUACGGUACACCCCUAUAUCGAAAGAGUUGUCUAACCAUUUUUCUCAAUUUUUAUUUCGAAACGCUUCGAUACAGGCCGGUACAUCUCGGUACGGGCCGAUACACACCUUGGUACAGGUCGGUUCAUCUUGGUACAGG